RNAcentral lists this ribosomal RNA (205 nucleotides) under uncultured bacterium. Its description in RNAcentral is "partial 16S ribosomal RNA". It matches the Rfam family "Bacterial small subunit ribosomal RNA", at positions 568 to 774 of the family's 1533-position model. The record is from RNAcentral.
UGCGUAGGCGGCCAAUAAAGUCUAGGGUGAAAGGCUACGGCUCAACCGUAGUAAGCCUGGAAAUUUAUUGGCUUGAGUGCAGGAGAGGAGAGUGGAAUUCCUAGUGUAGCGGUGAAAUGCGUAGAUAUUAGGAGGAACACCAGUGGCGAAGGCGACUCUCUGGACUGUAACUGACGCUGAGGCACGAAAGCGUGGGGAGCGAACA